AGUGACUUAGGAUAACCCAGACCAAGAGCCUUCAAAGCUCUGAGCAGGGGUGAAAACCCCCUAGUCCCUG
Molecule: transfer RNA, 70 nt
Filed under: Raiamas senegalensis (Senegal minnow)
Lineage: Eukaryota; Metazoa; Chordata; Actinopteri; Cypriniformes; Danionidae
Description: tRNA-Trp
Rfam family: tRNA
About the family: Transfer RNA (tRNA) molecules are approximately 80 nucleotides in length.
Source: RNAcentral